GAUGAACGCUGGCGGCGUGCCUAAUACAUGCAAGUCGAGCGAACAGAUAAGGAGCUUGCUCCUUUGACGUUAGCGGCGGACGGGUGAGUAACACGUGGAUAACCUACCUAUAAGACUGGGAUAACUUCGGGAAACCGGAGCUAAUACCGGAUAACAUAUUGAACCGCAUGGUUCAAUAGUGAAAGGCGGCUUUGCUGUCACUUAUAGAUGGAUCCGCGCCGUAUUAGCUAGUUGGUAAGGUAACGGCUUACCAAGGCAACGAUACGUAGCCGACCUGAGAGGGUGAUCGGCCACACUGGAACUGAGACACGGUCCAGACUCCUACGGGAGGCAGCAGUAGGGAAUCGUCCGCAAUGGGCGAAAGCCUGACGGAGCAACGCCGCGUGAGUGAUGAAGGUCUUCGGAUCGUAAAACUCUGUUAUCAGGGAAGAACAAAUGUGUAAGUAACUGUGCACAUCUUGACGGUACCUGAUCAGAAAGCCACGGCUAACUACGUG
This 497-nucleotide ribosomal RNA is filed under the name uncultured bacterium. RNAcentral describes it as "partial 16S ribosomal RNA". It matches the Rfam family "Bacterial small subunit ribosomal RNA", at positions 28 to 507 of the family's 1533-position model. The record is from RNAcentral.